This 1803-nucleotide long non-coding RNA is filed under the name Triticum aestivum (bread wheat). Its description in RNAcentral is "long non-coding RNA (TAES_LNC010316)". The record is from RNAcentral. Lineage: Eukaryota; Viridiplantae; Streptophyta; Magnoliopsida; Poales; Poaceae.
UCUGUUCUCUGGUGAGCACGCGCGCACAGAGUAAGCUUCAACCAAUCGGACGCCGCCACUUGGCACCUUGCUACAGAACACGCACAGGAGUUCGCUACAGCGUUCAGGAGUUUUCUGUUGCUGUUUUCUUCAGAUUCUUCUUCUAACUUCAAUUAGCUAUAACUUCUAUUCUGUAUAUCCAAUUUAGGUGAUUCUUUUUCCUACGCACUCACAAAAAUCAGCACAAUAUCACAGUACCAACUUUGCACAUGCUUGCUCUGUUCAAAUUUGAAUUCGUUUGAAUUUGAAUUAAACCUUCCAGAGGCCAUAACUCUCAAACCGUUUAUCGGAAUCGAGUGAUUCUUUUUGCGUUGUGACCGUAGUGCAAUUUAGGUGAUGUUAAUAUUCUGUUGUUGAGUUUUAAAAAUGGUUUUGUUGCUGUUGGUUUUGUUUUGGUUCUAUUCGUGUUCCGGUGAUUGAUUGUUGAAUUGUGUGAAACGUGUAGAUUGUCCGGAGUGCGACGCGAGCUAUUGUCAGGAGUGUGACUUUCUGAACCAGAACCAAGGCAAGUUACAUGUUGAUCAUCCUUUACCUAUUGUUUUCUAUGCAUGUAGUUAUAUCACACUAUGAAUAUAUGCAUGUAUAAGAGUAUUAUAUAUUUUGGCUAUGCUGAUGAGCUAUCUUCCCGUCUUUGCAAAUCGUGGUAGUGGUAGGUUGCUAUGCUUUGUAGACGGGGGUGGUUCGUGUAUUCAUUGAGUUUAUGUGAGGAUUAUAUAUAUUUAACAAAUUGAGUAGUAACUCAGGAUUUAACUCACCUCUGGGCGGAAGUGGUAUUGCUUGGUGUUGAGGGAAGGCAUCAUGGGGUCUUGCACCUUUUCUAAGGCCAUGCGCUCAUGAGAGUGCACCCUAAGUGGAAUGCCGCCCAGGCUCAAAAAGAUCAGACAGACUUAGUGACUAGUAGCUUCCAUGUGCGGCCACUGGCUAUAUGGGCUCUGGCUUAGUUGAUCAGUUGUUGGAACCCUUGCCCAGACUGUGUCGAUAGAUGUAGCAUAUGUAGGUGGGAUGUGGCCAUCAGGUGGUUAAGGGAACCUCUUCUGAAAGACUUCGUCUCAAUCUUCGGAUUGGGUCCAGUGGGUAAAGCGUACAAAACUCUGCAGAGUAUUAAAACUAAUCAUGAUUAGCCGUGCCCCGGGUUAUGGGUAACUUUGAGCCACUAUGCCAUUACAGUUGUUGGAUGAUCUUGACAGAUGUGACAAUUAAUAAAUUUGUUGGGAAACUUAAUAAAAGGGUAGGUUGGAGUUGAUUUUGCCAACUCAACCUUGUGCAUUUAAUUGUAGUAAUAAAAGAACUAUAUAAAAAUUUGACUAUUAGGUAGUUAUGAGGACAAAAUCAGCUUUCUGCAAAAUAAACCCCCAAGCCUUCCUUUGUUGUACUAUGCAUAUACAUGUAGGUCUGCUUUAUUAUUACUCCUGUGUAACUUGCCAAUACAUUCCAAGUAUUGACCUAUAUGGCUGCAACGUCUCAUGUUGCAGGACAUUCAGACGAAGAGUAAGGUACCGUUAGGGUCGCGAGUCUGCACUCAGCAUCGCCAGUGGGCUAUGAUGGGACUCAUCGUUAUUUUCUGCUACUUUCCGCUGUUUGAUUGAAUAAAGCUAGCCAAGUGCUAUGCAGAUUGUUUUAUUUUAUAUAUUCUAGAUCAUACGAUGUAAUAAAUGAUGCACUUGCUAUUCUGGUAUUUAUCUAUACUAUGUGUGCUAGCGAGUUCGAUCCAGGGACUAGCACGGUAAGCACAGAGACUCAAAUCCUUCGAGGUUUGGUCGUUAC